UGUAUAUGAAAAUGAAAAGGAAUUGAGAGUAUAUUACCAUAUUAUAUGGGUGAAUAGUCAUCUUCACCGGGAGCAGAAGAAAUAGAAGACAAGACAACAAAAGUACCAAACAAGAUUGUGACAAUGGCAGUGAAGUUAACAAGGAGUGCCUUUGAACCAUAUUUAGGUGCCUCUGAACCAUAUUUAGUCACACCUACUGAGCUCUCCAGGAAUGUGAGCUUCUCUAAGAACCCAAGAGAAGCUGUCCCAAGUGCAAGCACAUACACUAUCAGCCCAAACAACACGUGCCAUGGG
This 294-nucleotide long non-coding RNA is filed under the name Arachis ipaensis. RNAcentral describes it as "long non-coding RNA (AIPA_LNC001349)". The record is from RNAcentral. Lineage: Eukaryota; Viridiplantae; Streptophyta; Magnoliopsida; Fabales; Fabaceae.